AUCGCGCUGCCCUUUUAUUUGGCAGGUAACGACACUGAGGCCCAGAGAAGACCAAGUCACUGGUCAGUGUCAGAGGUGGGACAAGAGCCAGGGUGACCUGGUUCCCAGGCCAUCAUGCUCUCUUUGCCGGGGUAGAGUCCACACCAGCAGUCUCUGUGCCUGGGUCUUGCACACCUAGGUUUCCUCUCACCAAGGCUGACUCUUUGACCUUUAACAUCCUCUCCCCUAGCCCUGAGAAGACCCACUCUGAAUGUUCCCAGGUCCCCAGCACACAGAUGGCAACUUUAAGGGGACAAUGGAUGUUAAGAAGGGUGAGGAGAGAUGGCAAGAAUGUCACCAGAGUACCUGGUCUGGCCACACAGGGUCUCAGUAAAAUAUUAUCUCGGAUUAAAAAUAAAUACACUAUAUGCUAACUAAAUUGAAUUUAAAUAAAAAUUUAAAAACAGGGAUGCCUGGGUGGCUC
This 463-nucleotide long non-coding RNA is filed under the name Vulpes vulpes (red fox). RNAcentral's name for it is "lncRNA (ENSVVUG00000028222.1)". Lineage: Eukaryota; Metazoa; Chordata; Mammalia; Carnivora; Canidae. The record is from RNAcentral.